This 73-nucleotide transfer RNA is filed under the name Triticum aestivum (bread wheat). RNAcentral describes it as "tRNA_PseudoGTC". Lineage: Eukaryota; Viridiplantae; Streptophyta; Magnoliopsida; Poales; Poaceae. The record is from RNAcentral.
GGGAUUGUAGUUCAAUUGGUUAGAGCACCCCCUGUCAAGGCAGAAACUGCGAGUUCGAGCCCUGUCAGUGUCG